UAGACCAAGAAAUGAUCACCAAGCUCUUUUCCCACCAAGUGGGAUCACAUUAGACCCAGAUCGGUUAACAAAGCCUCCUCGCCCUCCCCCUCGACCUCCUCCACGACCCCUUGACCGGAAAUUCCCUCCGGAACCCAUGCCACCAGAAGAUCUGCUCAUUGCAGCCAAUGCUGGACUCACAAUCUGCCCAGCUUCCUGUAGGAUCUUGACAAGUUCCCUAGAAAACCUCGCAUUUGAUUGAGUAAAGAAGGUCAAGGCCAUGCCCUUAGCACCUGCACGGCCAGUUCGACCAAUCCUGUGAACAUAAUCCUCGAGACUUCCCGGGAAAUCAUAAUUGAUCACACACUUUAUGUCUUUCACAUCUGCAUCACACAAAACAAGUUGACCAGUUAGUACUACAUCCAGAUCUGACAAACCUUAGCAGUCCAAUUGGCUCUCCCCAUCAGGAUCAGACGCAUCAGAAUGCCUUUCAUCACUGCAAGCUUAAGGGAAAACUGAAGCAACGGAAAUGUUCUCAAGGAGUCCGACUUGGCUGCAACUGAACCAGAUUCACAACUGUGGAUGGGUGGCAAAAACUUCUCUAGCCAUGUUACUUGGAUGCAUAGGAAUACAAAAUGAUUUG
Molecule: unclassified non-coding RNA, 622 nt
Filed under: Hevea brasiliensis (rubber tree)
Lineage: Eukaryota; Viridiplantae; Streptophyta; Magnoliopsida; Malpighiales; Euphorbiaceae
Source: RNAcentral